GCAUAUCAAAAGCGGAGGAAAAGAAACCAACAGGGAUUGCCUUAGUAACGGCGAGUGAAGCGGCAAAAGCUCAAAUUUGAAAUCUGGCACCUUCGGUGUCCGAGUUGUAAUUUGAAGAAGGUAACUUUGGAGUUGGCUCUUGUCUAUGUUCCUUGGAACAGGACGUCACAGAGGGUGAGAAUCCCGUGCGAUGAGAUGCCCAAUUCUAUGUAAAGUGCUUUCGAAGAGUCGAGUUGUUUGGGAAUGCAGCUCUAAGUGGGUGGUAAAUUCCAUCUAAAGCUAAAUAUUGGCGAGAGACCGAUAGCGAACAAGUACAGUGAUGGAAAGAUGAAAAGAACUUUGAAAAGAGAGUGAAAAAGUACGUGAAAUUGUUGAAAGGGAAGGGCUUGAGAUCAGACUUGGUAUUUUGCGAUCCUUUCCUUCUUGGUUGGGUUCCUCGCAGCUUACUGGGCCAGCAUCGGUUUGGAUGGUAGGAUAAUGACUAAGGAAUGUGGCUCUACUUCGGUGGAGUGUUAUAGCCUUGGUUGAUACUGCCUGUCUAGACCGAGGACUGCGUCUUUUGACUAGGAUGUUGGCAUAAUGAUCUUAAGCCACCCGUCUUGAAACACGG
Molecule: ribosomal RNA, 610 nt
Filed under: Debaryomyces hansenii
Lineage: Eukaryota; Fungi; Ascomycota; Pichiomycetes; Serinales; Debaryomycetaceae
Description: eukaryotic LSU rRNA
Rfam family: Eukaryotic large subunit ribosomal RNA
Source: RNAcentral